Long non-coding RNA from Oncorhynchus tshawytscha (Chinook salmon), 588 nucleotides. Lineage: Eukaryota; Metazoa; Chordata; Actinopteri; Salmoniformes; Salmonidae. The record is from Ensembl.
GUGUUAGGAGUAUGACGGGAGUGUUAGGAGUAUGACGGGAGUGUUAGGAGUAUGACGGGAGUAUUAGGAGUAUGACGGGAGUGUUGGGAGUAUGACGGGAGUGUUGGGAGUAUGACGGGAGUGUUGGGAGUAUGACGGGAGUGUUAGGAGUGUUAGGAGUAUGACGGGAGUGUUGGGAGUGUGACGGGAGUGUUGGGAGUGUGAAGAGUGUUAGGAGUAUGACGGGAGUGUUAGAAGUGUGACGGGAGUGUUGGUAGUAUGACGGGAGUGUUGGGAGUGUGACGGGAGUGUUAGGAGUAUGACGGAGUGUUAGGAGUGUUAGGAGUAUGACGGGAGUGUUGGGAGUAUGACGGGAGUGUUAGGAGUAUGACGGGAGUGUUAGGAGUGUUAGGAGUAUGACGGGAGUGUUGGGAGUGUGGGGAGUGUUGGUAGUAUGACGGAGUGUUGGUAGUAUGACGGGAGUGUUGGUAGUAUGACGGGAGUGUUGGGAGUAUGACGGAGUUGUUGGGAGUAUGACGGGAGUGUUGGGAGUAUGACGGGGAUGUUAGGAGUGUUAGGAGUAUGACGGGAGUGUUGGGAGUAUGACGG